UACGGAGGGAGCUAGCGUUGUUCGGAAUUACUGGGCGUAAAGCGCACGUAGGCGGCGAUUCAAGUCAGAGGUGAAAGCCCGGGGCUCAACCCCGGAACUGCCUUUGAAACUAGAUUGCUAGAAUCCUGGAGAGGUGAGUGGAAUUCCGAGUGUAGAGGUGAAAUUCGUAGAUAUUCGGAAGAACACCAGUGGCGAAGGCGGCUCACUGGCCCGGUACUGACGCUGAGGUGCGAAAGCGUGGGGAGCAAACAGG
This 253-nucleotide ribosomal RNA is filed under the name uncultured bacterium. Its description in RNAcentral is "partial 16S ribosomal RNA". It matches the Rfam family "Bacterial small subunit ribosomal RNA", at positions 524 to 776 of the family's 1533-position model. The record is from RNAcentral.